Long non-coding RNA from Eutrema salsugineum, 786 nucleotides. RefSeq lists it as uncharacterized. NCBI's taxonomy places the organism in Eukaryota, Viridiplantae, Streptophyta, Magnoliopsida, Brassicales, Brassicaceae. The transcript has 3 exons. The record is from RefSeq and is a predicted model, not a curated record.
AAAAAAAAAAUUACAGAACUUUCCAACGUGAAAAACAAUGUGGAAUACCCUCAAUAGAAUGUAUGAAGAAAUCGAACUUAUCCAGAACCUUCAAACCAUUUUUGCAUGAGACCAUAGAGUCUGGAUUUGUUUGAUAAUCGAGGGAAGAUUUCCGGUUGCAGAUGAGCUUGUCAAUACGCUGGGUCAGCUGAUUAACAUCACAAUAACGAGAAUUAUGGAUUCGACCAUUAUGCUGUCUCCAAAUCUAGUAGAUGGUUGCUUCAAAAGAUAUUGGCGAUUUCGGAGAAGUUUCUCAGCGACAUUAGUUCACACAGUAAAAGAGUAUGGACAAACGAAGAAAAUGUGAUCUCGUGUCUCAUUUGGCUCACCACACACAACACAAAAGGCUGAUGUGCUUGCCACCUUCACACUGCAUUCCCUGUAGAAAGUCUAUUCUGAAUCUCAAACCAUGUAAUGAAUCUACAGCAAGGGAUACCCUGAGAAAACCAAACUUCUCGCCACCAGUCAACAGUCUGAUGUUGCUAUCCUAGAUGAUUCCAAGUGUGAUAGGAGGAGAAUCCAUAGUGUUGUGACGCCAUAGAAAAGCAUUCAGGUCUACUAGUUCGAAUUGGCAAUGGUUGAGCAUUGAUGAGUUCCAUAAUCAGAUGAAGAUGUUGAAACACCUUGAACGAUAUAAACGUUCUAGACCGUUCACCAGUGUUCGAUGAUGUUUAAAAAGGAAACACUUCAAGAGUAAAGUUUUUCGUGAACCAACGUCCGUAUAAUAUGGCAUACUAUCUAGCUGAC